This is a long non-coding RNA of Centruroides sculpturatus (bark scorpion), 947 nucleotides long. RefSeq lists it as uncharacterized. The record is from RefSeq and is a predicted model, not a curated record. The transcript has 3 exons. Lineage: Eukaryota; Metazoa; Arthropoda; Arachnida; Scorpiones; Buthidae.
AGAGGUCUCUUUACUUUUGAAAGAAAAUAGCGGGAAAAUAAAAUGAGGCGUGACAACAUGGCGUCGAUAAUUUAUCUUAAAUAUUCAAAUUCUCUAAAUGCAACAUAAGUAAUUAAUUUCUUUUAUUCGAUAAUUAAUUAAUUGUUGAAUGACUUACCUGAACCUAGAAAAUGCAGUAUAUACUUGAUACGAAGACAAUUGUUUCUGGCAUACAAACUUUAGGGCAGUUUCGUUAGAUCUGCACUUGAUUUGUUGUACAGUUCUAUCCGAAUUUACACAUCCACAAGUUCCUGCUAAUUGUACACUUUUAGGAAAAUCUGGAUUCCAAAGUUUAAAGCCGUCUGAAGUUUUAGUGCUUCCAUCACUAAAGGUUAAAGUUUCUCCAUCGUAAGUGAACCCUGCCCAGAUCUUUUCUCCAAGAUGUCUAUACCUGUCUAUCUCUCUUUGUAACCAAGAAAAAGUAUCUUCAUCAGGAACAGGAGCUAUACUACCAUUAUAAUAUUUACUUUGACAUAUUUGUUCGGCUUCAACAUAAGUUUUCCUCUUCUUCACUUCAAAGAAGCAAGUACUACAAGUUGCUCCUAAUAGAAAUCCAUUAAUUAGGUUCUAAAUUUUUAUUUUUAUACAUAAAUUUAACUUAUUUUUCAAUAUUUUAAAAUAAUUAUAAAUAUUUUUACAUUAAAUCUUAAACAGCAACACACUCAAGGCAACUUAAUAUAGAAGUACUGUACAUAGCUAACUUAAAAUUGCUUAUAAAAGCAAAAAUAAUUAGAAUAAUUUUUAAAAUAAGAGAAAUAUGUAAACAAAAUAUGAUAUUUUAUACGUUUUUAAUGAUUUUUUUUAAUUAAGAGUCUAACUUACCUUUGUUAAAAACAUUGCACAGAAUUAGAGUGACUGUAACCCCACGCAAUGUGGACUUCUCCAUUUUAAAAUAACCUUUAAAAAUA